UACUCUGAAGUCCCCAAAUAGCAAAGACUAACUUUGAUUGUACAUAUCUCUCUGGUCCACCAUGCAGAAUGUCAUGUGGAGUAAAUCAGCACAUCUUAAAACAUGAAUCUGGGUUGAAAAGUUCAGAGAUUACCUCCUGAAUUUUGCAGCAGCUGAGUUGAUUUUGGCCCCACAAAGCAGACUCUUGUUUAUUUGCUCAUAAAACAUCUCUGCAGGGAUGAUGGGUCUUACAAAUCACACUGGACACAUGAGAAGUGGGGUUGGUUUUGUUUGUACUUUGGCCACUGGUCAAGCGGAACUGACAGACUCUUUCUUUUCAACUGGAGCGGUUUCUGGUCAGAACAACUGUGUCAGACACCUGGGCUUCUUACAUAGUUUUUUGUUUUUGCCAGUCCUGGGGCUUGAACUCAGGGCCUG
Long non-coding RNA from Perognathus longimembris pacificus (Pacific pocket mouse), 417 nucleotides. RefSeq lists it as uncharacterized. Lineage: Eukaryota; Metazoa; Chordata; Mammalia; Rodentia; Heteromyidae. The record is from RefSeq and is a predicted model, not a curated record. The transcript has 3 exons.